This is a long non-coding RNA of Pundamilia nyererei, 226 nucleotides long. RefSeq lists it as uncharacterized. The record is from RefSeq and is a predicted model, not a curated record. Lineage: Eukaryota; Metazoa; Chordata; Actinopteri; Cichliformes; Cichlidae. The transcript is spliced from 2 exons.
AAUGAUGCUGAUCUACAGGAGAAUCUGUCCAAGCUGAUGACCAACUUAAGAAGCACUCAUCCUCACUUUGUCCGUUGCCUGAUUCCCAAUGAGACAAAGACCCCAGGCCUUAUGGAGAACUUCCUGGUCAUCCACCAGCUGAGGUGUAACGGUGUACUGGAGGGCAUCAGAAUCUGCAGAAAGGGUUUCCCCAGCAGAAUCCUCUAUGGUGACUUCAAACAGAGAU